This 74-nucleotide transfer RNA is filed under the name Flavobacteriales bacterium. RNAcentral describes it as "tRNA-Asn". It matches the Rfam family "tRNA". Rfam says of the family: Transfer RNA (tRNA) molecules are approximately 80 nucleotides in length. Their secondary structure includes four short double-helical elements and three loops (D, anti-codon, and T loops). Lineage: Bacteria; Pseudomonadati; Bacteroidota; Flavobacteriia; Flavobacteriales. The record is from RNAcentral.
GCCUCAGUAGCUCAGUUGGUUAGAGCACAUGACUGUUAAUCAUGGGGUCACUGGUUCAAGCCCAGUCUGAGGCG